This 478-nucleotide ribosomal RNA is filed under the name uncultured Micromonospora sp. RNAcentral describes it as "bacterial SSU rRNA". It matches the Rfam family "Bacterial small subunit ribosomal RNA", at positions 56 to 553 of the family's 1533-position model. The record is from RNAcentral. Lineage: Bacteria; Bacillati; Actinomycetota; Actinomycetes; Micromonosporales; Micromonosporaceae.
UGCAAGUCGAGCGGAAGGCCUUCGGGGUACUCGAGCGGCGAACGGGUGAGUAACACGUGAGCAACCUGCCCUAGGCUUUGGGAUAACCCCGGGAAACCGGGGCUAAUACCGAAUAUGACUUCUGGUCGCAUGACCGGUGGUGGAAAGUUUUUCGGCCUGGGAUGGGCUCGCGGCCUAUCAGCUUGUUGGUGGGGUGAUGGCCUACCAAGGCGACGACGGGUAGCCGGCCUGAGAGGGCGACCGGCCACACUGGGACUGAGACACGGCCCAGACUCCUACGGGAGGCAGCAGUGGGGGAAUAUUGCACAAUGGGCGGAAGCCUGAUGCAGCGACGCCGCGUGAGGGAUGACGGCCUUCGGGUUGUAAACCUCUUUCAGCAGGGACGAAGCGUAAGUGACGGUACCUGCAGAAGAAGCACCGGCCGACUACAUGCCAGCAGCCGCGGUCAGACAUAAGGCGCGAGCGUUGUCCGGAUUUA